GGCGCGUCGGUCCAGAAGGACAGGACGCCGGAGGUUCGCUCCGGCGGCCGCGGGUUCGGCUCCCGCGCGCGCCAC
This 75-nucleotide transfer RNA is filed under the name Actinocatenispora rupis. RNAcentral describes it as "tRNA-Glu". The record is from RNAcentral. Lineage: Bacteria; Bacillati; Actinomycetota; Actinomycetes; Micromonosporales; Micromonosporaceae.